UACAGAGGUCUCAAGCGUUGUUCGGAUUCAUUGGGCGUAAAGGGUGUGUAGGUGGCGCCGUAAGUCGGGUGUGAAAUUUCGGAGCUUAACUCCGAAACUGCAUUCGAUACUGCGGUGCUUGAGGACUGGAGAGGAGACUGGAAUUCAUGGUGUAGCAGUGAAAUGCGUAGAGAUCAUGAGGAAGACCAGUGGCAAAGGCGGGUCUCUGGACAGUUCCUGACACUGAGACACGAAGGCCAGGGGAGCAAACGGG
This 253-nucleotide ribosomal RNA is filed under the name uncultured bacterium. Its description in RNAcentral is "partial 16S ribosomal RNA". It matches the Rfam family "Bacterial small subunit ribosomal RNA", at positions 524 to 776 of the family's 1533-position model. The record is from RNAcentral.